GAAAUGCGAUAAGUAAUGUGAAUUGCAGAAUUCAGUGAAUCAUCGAAUCUUUGAACGCACAUUGCGCCCGGCAGCAUUCUGCCGGGCAUGCCUGUUCGAGCGUCAUUUCAACCCUCGAGCUCCCUUUGGGGAGCACGGUGUUGGGGACCGGCAGCACACUGAGCCGACCCCGAAAUGGAGUGGCGGCCCGUCCGCGGCGACCUCUGCGUAGUAAUUUAUCACCUCGCACCGGGAACCCGACGUGGCCACGCCUCAAAACAACCCAAUUUCUGAACGUUGACCUCGGAUCAGGUAGGAAUACCCGCUGAACUUAA
This 314-nucleotide unclassified non-coding RNA is filed under the name uncultured Sordariomycetes. RNAcentral describes it as "sequence contains ITS1". The stretch from base 1 to 105 matches the Rfam family "5.8S ribosomal RNA", at positions 50 to 154 of the family's 154-position model. Lineage: Eukaryota; Fungi; Ascomycota; Sordariomycetes. The record is from RNAcentral.